RNAcentral lists this ribosomal RNA (1167 nucleotides) under Triticum aestivum (bread wheat). Its description in RNAcentral is "partial small subunit ribosomal RNA". The record is from RNAcentral. Lineage: Eukaryota; Viridiplantae; Streptophyta; Magnoliopsida; Poales; Poaceae.
AUGUCCGGGAUUCUGGACAGGUCGUGGCGGCCCUCGCGGUUCUUGGCGAGGAGACCGAGCACCUCGACGGCGCGGGCAGAGCCAUUGGCGGCCAGCUCGACGAGCGCCGGGGCGGCCCCGGCGCGCACCGUGCGCCGGCGGUUCUCGGGCAGCUUGCAGAGCUCGUACAGGGUUGUCGCGGCCUCGCGGCGCUCCCGCGCGCCGCCGCGCCAGAGCAGCCUGGACAGCGCUGGGACGGCAGAGGGAUGCGCCCCGAUGGUGCACUUGUUGACGCCCACGGUGGCGAGGCUCGUCAGCGCCGUAGCCGCGUGGGCGGCGGCCGCGCCGCCGGCGGACACGGCCGCGCAGAGCGCGUCGACGGCGCCGUCCGCCACGAGGCCGACGCGCGCGUCGUCGCCGUCGAGGCUGAGAUACAGGAGCGCCCUGGCCGCCGCCUCGUCCCCCGCGGCCGCGUGCUGGAGCAGCACCGCGACCGCGCCGGACUCCAGCACCUCCCUCCGCCCGGCCGGCCCAGACUUGGCCAGCCUGAGCAUCCCCAGGACGGAGGAGGACGACGCCGGCACCGCCCCUUGCCCCUGGCAGUCCCCCGCGAGGGCCUUGUCCGCGGACACGGCCGCCGGCGAAACGGAAACGGCCGCUAUGAGGCGGCGCAGCGCGUGGUUGGGGAUGAGCGUGGGGUCAGGGGGGAGAGGCAGGUUGGUGACGGGGCAGGUCCGGUGGCCCCCGUCGAGCCAGCGCUGGAUGCUGCGGCGCUCGAAGGUGUGGCCGGAGGGGAGGAUGACGGGGUCCGUCAUGACCUCGAGCGAGAUGGGGCAGAGGAAGUCGUCGGGCCAGGACGCCUGCUUGGACACUUCCAUGGCGUGGGCGCGAGGAGUCGCGGCGGGAGGUGGGGAGGAACGGAAAGCGUGUGGGACUGUGGAAGAAGAAGAAGAGGCGGAGGAGGAGGUGGUGGUGGAGCGAGUCCGUAUUGGGGAAAGUCCACUUCCGGUGGACGGGAACGGGAUGAUGAUGUGGGGGAGCGAGCGAGUGGGAAGACCAUCCGGUGAGCCUAAGAAGCCUCGCCGCCGCCGGCCCGUCCCGUCUCGUCUCGCCUCGUCUGUAUAUAUCCAUCCAUCUCGUCGUACGUGCGUGGCGUGUGCGUCGCUCGCGAUUUUUGGCAGAUCCUAA